Molecule: long non-coding RNA, 776 nt
Organism: Nyctereutes procyonoides (raccoon dog)
Lineage: Eukaryota; Metazoa; Chordata; Mammalia; Carnivora; Canidae
Exons: 3
Source: RefSeq, a predicted model, not a curated record
CUCCAUGGAAUACUGGUCUUUGUAAAAGAUCUGAAUUGAGAGAAAUGCGGGUGUUGCUCAGCUACUGGAAUGUGUUGAAGUUGUCAAUGCUCUGCCCUGCGUCUCAACGAAACCAGUGGUAUUUUGAAGCCUAGAACCUUUUUCUGUGUGGGCCCUGAAGUCCUUUGUCCUGCAAAACUUCCCAAGGGGAUGGAUGUCUCUGGGCUGAGCGCCAGACCCUGUUCUUCCCAGUGGCUUGUGGUUUGGAAGCUGACUACAGUGCCCCUCCUUGUGUCUCUGGUGUGGAAAGGAAUCAUCCACCCUCACCCCGGGUGAGGCCUGGACCAUGUGGACGCCCCAGGAAGGCAGAAUGGAUACUUUUGUACAGUCCCUGCUGCGAUCCUUCCAGGAGAGGAGCCUCUCAGAAAACGCAGUUGUUUUCCGUGUCUACCAGGUGUUCAGCACAGCCCAAAGGGUCCUGGGCCACCAGUUCCACAGUCCACAGGUUCCCAACUUGCACAGUGAUAGAAGAGUCAGAAUCUCCUUCCUACGGACAUCAUCAGGGGUCUAUGAAUGAUAUCUGCAACGCACGUGAGCUGGUGCCCUGUGUAUCUGAGGCACAAUUUUAAGGAUCGUGCAUUGACAUAUAGAGGAACACCCCGACAUGAAGCCCUCCCAAUGGAAAUCAAGAGAUCUAUGUGAUCCUGGGCUGACAGUCGCUCCCCAACGACAAACCCUGUCGUCUCCCAACCUGCUCUGUGGAGGCAUCAAUGUUCUCCUUCUGGAUCCAAAGACCA